GCAUGAUAAGAGAAAAAGAGAGGGGCAGGGGAAAGAAAAAGAACUAGGGGCCACUAGGGAAGGAGAAUGGAAACCUGUGGUCUAAACAGAGAAGCAACAAGAAGUGACCUGAGAGUUUCAAGCCAGGCAAGUUGACCUGAAAGAGGGCUGCUAGGGCCUGGGGAGCCUUUAUUUAUCUGGUAUCCUGUAAAAGGAGAUUGAAAACUGGGCUGGGCUGAGAAGCUGGGCUCCCUCCCACUCCCACCCACAAGAAAACAAAAGGCCCGUUUUCCUGAGCUCUUCCUAUAAUCCAGAAGGUCCUCAAGAGGAGGAAGAGUGUGGUGAACGCAAUGGCAGCACCAAGGAACACCUUAGGGGAGGGGAACUUCAACCUUCCAU
Perognathus longimembris pacificus (Pacific pocket mouse) is the source of this 378-nucleotide long non-coding RNA. RefSeq lists it as uncharacterized. The record is from RefSeq and is a predicted model, not a curated record. NCBI's taxonomy places the organism in Eukaryota, Metazoa, Chordata, Mammalia, Rodentia, Heteromyidae. The transcript is spliced from 3 exons.